CAGGGAAAUGAUGGCAUUGGAUACAGUCUGAAGGACUUAACUGAGUUGGGAAUUCGCUGCGACCUCCAACAUGCCGUCCAAGCCUGCCCCGAUCAAGAAGGCGGCCAAGAAAGAACCGGAGGAAAAAGCCCCAGAGCCGGCUCCCGAACCCGCCCCGGAGCCUGCUCCCGUCGAGGAAACCCCCGCGGAGGUCGCUCCAGCUGAGGGAGAGGCGCCUGCCGAGGGGGAAGCUCCUGCUGAGGCACCUGCACCAGAGCCGAAGCCACCCACUCCACCUCCUCCACCCAAAGAACCCACAAGCGCCCCUGUGGAUCUGUUUGUUGAAGACAAAAAUGACAAUUCAGUGACCAUCAUUUGGAGCCAGCCUGAGACCAUUGGGGACUCUGGUCUGGACGGAUAUGUCAUUGAAGUUUGCAAGGAUGGAACUGAAGACUGGAAAGCAGUCAAUCAGGAUCUGCAGAAGUCCAGUCGCUACGUCAUCAAGAACCAGACCACCGGUGACCGCCUGAAGAUCCGUGUGGUGGCUGUGAAUGAAGGAGGCCGCAGCCCCCCCGUCACCCUGCCAGAGCCCGUACUGGUGAAGGAAGUUGCAGAUCGUCCCAAGGUCCGUUUGCCUCGUUUCCUUAGGCAGAGAUACGUCGCUCUUGUUGGGGAAAAGAUCAACCUGACCAUCCCUUUCACAGGUAAACCUAAACCUGUGGUGACCUGGACAAAGGGCGGCACAGCACUGGACCCAAAGAGAGUGAACAUCCGCAGCACCGAAAGAGACAGCAUCCUGUUCAUCCGUGCAGCCGAGAGAGAUGACUCCGGAGUGUAUGAGAUGUGCGUGAAAGUGGAGGGCUUUGAAGACAAGGCCUCACUGACCCUUCAGAUUGUUGAGCUGCCAGGGCCUCCUGCCAGUGUGAAGAUUGUUGACACCUGGGGCUUCAAUGUUGCUCUGGAAUGGACUGCACCCAGAGAUAAUGGAAACACUGAGAUCACAGGAUAUACAAUCCAGAAGGCUGACAAAAAGACUGGAGAUUGGUUCACUGUGUUGGAGCAUUACCACAGACUGAAUGCCACCAUCUCUGAUCUCAUCAUGGGCAACACUUACAAGUUCAGAGUAUUUUCUGAGAACAAGUGUGGAAUGAGCGAGUCAGCUGCUGUUACAAAGGAAGAGGCUAAGAUCCUGAAGACAGAUAUCGACUACAAGCCUCCUGAAUAUAAGGAACAUGACUUCAGUGAAGCACCAAAGUUCACCACGUCUCUGAGCGACAGAGCCACCACUGUUGGCUACAGCACCAAGCUGCUAUGCUCCGUCAGGGGAUUCCCCAAGCCCAAGAUUGAAUGGAUGAAGAACCAGAUGAUUAUCGGAGAUGACCCCAAGUUCAGGCAGAUCUGCGUCCAGGGCAUCUGUUCUCUGGAGAUCAGGAAACCUGGAAACUUUGACGGUGGUGUUUACUCCUGCAGAGCCAAGAAUGAUCAUGGAGAAGCAGUCAUCAGCUGCAAGCUGGAUGUCAAACAGCCAGCAAUUCCAGACGGGGACAAGAAAUAGAUUGACAUCUUCACUAACACAGGAGCAGAGGGUAAGGUCUUUGCAGUAUAAGGAUCAGUUGGAUUCCUGGAAGAACUUCUAUCUAUGGCUGGUGAUUCAUUUGCCAACGGGUUUUAGCCUCUGACGUCUUACCGAGUAACAUCUACUAAGAUGAACAAUUUUUGUCAUCGCUUCAUGCCUACAACAAAAACAUUGAGUCCACAUCCAUGUCUACAAUUUGUUUUGCACAAGAAUACUCUCAUUAAUAACUAUUAUCUUAUGACCUCUUCAAACAAUGUACUACUUAAACAACUUCCCAGUCUUACUCAAUUGAAUUUACUGUUCCUCAUAUUAGAACUACAUGUAACAUCUAUGUGUUUAUAUCAAUAAAUAAUUUAAUUUC
Molecule: RNA transcript, 1916 nt
Organism: Gambusia affinis (western mosquitofish)
Lineage: Eukaryota; Metazoa; Chordata; Actinopteri; Cyprinodontiformes; Poeciliidae
Gene: mybphb
Gene name: myosin binding protein Hb
Exons: 13
Source: RefSeq, a predicted model, not a curated record